Asparagus officinalis (garden asparagus) is the source of this 528-nucleotide long non-coding RNA. RefSeq lists it as uncharacterized. The transcript has 3 exons. The record is from RefSeq and is a predicted model, not a curated record. NCBI's taxonomy places the organism in Eukaryota, Viridiplantae, Streptophyta, Magnoliopsida, Asparagales, Asparagaceae.
CUUAUUGUCAAGCCAUCAAAGAUAUGCUGACCUUUUGUUUCACUAUAAAUAUAGAUAUAUAGAUCACCCUCAUGUUAGUUGAACAUCUGCAGCAAGCAAGGUUUCUCGAUCUCCUUUAGUUUGCUGUGUUCUCUAUCUUGCUAUCAGAAUCACUAAUGGAUAGCUUGAAGAGUAACCGAGGGAAACAAGGCAACCAACAGCCUCCUCCAGGAUACCCAACUCGCACAGUACCACAUAAGAGGCCUUGCUGCCCUCGUACCAAAAGGAAAGAUGAUAAGAGCUUCAUUGAAGGAUGCCUUGCUGCCCUUUGUUGCUGUUGGUUAUGCGAUGUCUGCUGUGAUUGAGACGUAAAUCAACCAUGCAUGGCUUGUGAAAGACUACUUUUUCAUACGGAGCAUAUUGCAGGAGUGUACUUAGCUAUGUACAAGAUAUGGUGUGUUGAUGUAACCAGGGUGUAAUAAAAUUUGCUCUAGCUUAUGUGUACACCUACAAAUGGAUAUAUGAAAAUGCUGCAUUAGUUUACGUUAA